This is a small nuclear RNA of Pongo abelii (Sumatran orangutan), 161 nucleotides long. Its record names the gene U2. It matches the Rfam family "U2 spliceosomal RNA". Rfam says of the family: U2 is a small nuclear RNA (snRNA) component of the spliceosome (involved in pre-mRNA splicing). The record is from Ensembl. Lineage: Eukaryota; Metazoa; Chordata; Mammalia; Primates; Hominidae.
AUCGCUUCUCAGCCUUUUGGCUAAGAUCAAGUGUAGUAUCUGUUCUUAUCAGAAAGUCAGAUACCAGCUGGUGAAGUAUUAUAUUGUGAGCCUGAAUAUGAGGACCAAGGCCAGGUUUUGUCAUUUUGUAUACUGAUUUAUCACUUUAUAGUCUGAUUCCU